Molecule: ribosomal RNA, 504 nt
Filed under: uncultured bacterium
Lineage: Bacteria
Description: partial 16S ribosomal RNA
Rfam family: Bacterial small subunit ribosomal RNA
Source: RNAcentral
AUUGAACGCUGGCGGCAGGCCUAACACAUGCAAGUCGAACGGUAGCACAGAGAGCUUGCUCUCGGGUGACGAGUGGCGGACGGGUGAGUAAUGUCUGGGAAACUGCCCGAUGGAGGGGGAUAGCUACUGGAAACGGUAGCUAAUACCGCAUAACGUCGCAAGACCAAAGUGGGGGACCUUCGGGCCUCACACCAUCGGAUGUGCCCAGAUGGGAUUAGCUAGUAGGUGGGGUAAUGGCUCACCUAGGCGACGAUCCCUAGCUGGUCUGAGAGGAUGACCAGCCACACUGGAACUGAGACACGGUCCAGACUCCUACGGGAGGCAGCAGUGGGGAACAUUGCACAAUGGGCGCAAGCCUGAUGCAGCCAUGCCGCGUGUAUGAAGAAGGCCUUCGGGUUGUAAAGUACUUUCAGCGGGGAGGAAGGCGGUGGAGUUAAUAACUUCACCGAUUGACGUUACCCGCAGAAGAAGCACCGGCUAACUCCGUGCCAGCAGCCGCCGUAA